GACAGAGGGUGCAAACGUUGUUCGGAAUUACUGGGCGUAAAGCGCGUGUAGGCGGCCCGGAAAGUCGGAUGUGAAAGCCCUGGGCUUAACCUAGGAAGUGCAUUCGAAACUGCCGUGGCUUGAGUUCUGGAGAGGAAGGCGGAAUUCUCGGUGUAGAGGUGAAAUUCGUAGAUAUCGAGAGGAACACCGGUGGCGAAGGCGGCCUUCUGGACAGUGACUGACGCUGAGACGCGAAAGCGUGGGGAGCAAACAGG
RNAcentral lists this ribosomal RNA (254 nucleotides) under uncultured bacterium. RNAcentral describes it as "partial 16S ribosomal RNA". It matches the Rfam family "Bacterial small subunit ribosomal RNA", at positions 524 to 776 of the family's 1533-position model. The record is from RNAcentral.